Long non-coding RNA from Ipomoea nil (Japanese morning glory), 94 nucleotides. RefSeq lists it as uncharacterized. The transcript has 3 exons. NCBI's taxonomy places the organism in Eukaryota, Viridiplantae, Streptophyta, Magnoliopsida, Solanales, Convolvulaceae. The record is from RefSeq and is a predicted model, not a curated record.
AUCCAUGCCAAUAUUUAAUUUAUCUUGAUGUAAAAUUCACCAAAAUGAAGAUUAGAUCACCAAAGUGCUAGCUAAUCAACCAAUAUCUUAUGUU